UUAAGUUCAGCGGGUAGUCUUACCUGAUUUGAGGUCAAAAAUGUCAAGAGUUGUCCAGAGAAGGACGGUUUGAAGCAGGUCUUAUGAUAAGCCAACCCAAUCCAUGGAGUAGAUAAUUAUCACACCAAUAGAUUAGGGGCCUAACCCACUAAUACAUUUCAGAGGAGCAGACCACUGUUGUGGACCUGCAAAAACCCUCC
This 200-nucleotide unclassified non-coding RNA is filed under the name Coprinopsis sp. RNAcentral's name for it is "partial internal transcribed spacer 2". The record is from RNAcentral. Lineage: Eukaryota; Fungi; Basidiomycota; Agaricomycetes; Agaricales; Psathyrellaceae.